UUCUUCCAGAACGUUCCUUCUCAAAUUUUUCCACACAAAAAAUUCACUCUAUAGCAGAUUAGGGUUCUCUUGGAGAAAAAGGGAUAGUGAAAAAUGUCUCACUUCGGGAGAUCAGGGCCUCCUGAUAUAUCAGAUACAUACUCUCUUCUCAUCCUCAAUAUCUCUUUCCGCACGUCUGCUGAUGAUCUCUUCCCGCUGUUCGACAAGUAUGGAAAGGUCGUCGAUAUCUUUAUUCCCAGAGAUCGAAGGACUGGUGAAUCACGGGGUUUUGCAUUUGUCCGUUAUAAGUAUCAGGAUGAAGCUCAAAAGGCUGUGGAAAGACUAGAUGGGGAAGUGGUUGAUGGCAGAGAAAUUGCUGUUCAGUUUGCAAAGUAUGGGCCAAAUGCAGAACGGAUUCACAAAGGAAGAGUCGUUGAAAAGGCUCCCAGAAGUCGUGGACGAUCAAGAAGUAGAAGCCCUCGGAGAAGGCACCGAGAUUAUUAUCAUAGAGAAUACAGGAGAAGCCGGAGCAGAAGUCGGGAGAGGUAUGAGCGUGACAGGUACCGUGAGAGGAAACAUGGUCAUCGGUACCGGAGCAGGAGUUAUAGUGCCAGCCCAGACCAUGAUAGAUACCGUGGCAGGGGACGGUACAUAGAUGAGCCCCGGAGGAGUAGUAGAUCAUUUGAAAGUGCCUCUCCACCCCGGCGUAGCCCUAGCCCUUAUAGGAGUCUGUCCCCACGAAGGACACCAUCUCCUAGGGGUGGAAGUCCUGAGAGGCGCAGCCAUCAUGAGCUGUCCCCAAGUCCCAAGGCAUCGAAGUAUGUCUUGCCAGAACCAAGUGAUUGAUUUUUGUAGCUCUUCUCCUCAGAAUCCAGACAAUGAGUGAUCUGCACGAUUUUGGAUAUGCAGCUCCUAGAAGGGGAUUAUAUCUUUUGUGGCACUUUAGCUGAUGUCUCGAACUUGAAUCUAAUGCAUGUUCUAGAAGGAGCGUUAGGGACCUUGUUGUGCUCGAGAAAAGAUUUGAGUGGGGUUGAUGGCUAGACGAUGAUGUGGUUGUUGAUGCUUGUCAUCAUUAGAUGCUGGUUGUGAAUAGCAGAUGCUGAUUCCAAGGAUGUUUGUGAGUGUUCUAUGGAUGACAUUGUCAUUGCCUUGUGACUUUGUUAUCAUCUGUGAACUUUGGUUGUUUACACUAUUUGCCUCUGAAAUGGGAACCAGUGCUGUGCUGGACUCGGUUGACACAAAUUGAAUCUACUCAUACUGAGGGCUACUGGACCUGAUAUCCAGUUAAUAGUGCUCACAUUAUAUCUUGACAACUUCACUUGAAACAUUCAGCGAUGAGGACAUAAUUGGUGUAUUGCCCGUGCUGCAGCAGAAAGGAUCUGAUGAUUUUAGAUGUAGCUUUGAGGUGUGAUUGAAUCUACUUCAUUGGCUGUAGAUGCACCCUGUUGCUGGAUUAUCUGGUUGUGUGAUGAGGACCUGUGAUUUGCAGCAACUUGACUUUUCAAAUAGGCGUAUUGGUAGUUUGGUACUAAUACUUAAAGAGCUGUGUUCUUUCUACAAUAAGGAAUUAUAAAAAGGGAAAUGUUGCUUUAGGCAUGAGUAACUUUUCAAAUAGGUGCGUUGGUACUAAAACUUGUGCUUUUAGAGAUGUGUGUUCUUUUUACAUUUAUGGAAUUAUAAAAAUGGAAACCAUGAAUAUUGAUCUAGCCAUCUGCUCGAGUCGAGACUGACUUCCUGAA
This is an RNA transcript of Olea europaea var. sylvestris, 1718 nucleotides long. It is a transcript of the gene named serine/arginine-rich splicing factor SC35-like, with no coding region annotated. The record is from RefSeq and is a predicted model, not a curated record. The transcript is spliced from 11 exons. Lineage: Eukaryota; Viridiplantae; Streptophyta; Magnoliopsida; Lamiales; Oleaceae.